AAAAAAAAAAAAAAAAAAAUCUCUGCAUGAUAGUUUUUUCUAAUUUCUACCAAGAUUUUGGAUAAUUUCAAAGGAAAGAAGUAUUAAUUACAUCACAUUUUUAUAUGUACAAAUUCUGAGUGUGAUAAAAUACAUAUUAGAACAGUGAGUUAAUUGGUUAUAUCUUGUAAGGAUAAAAUAAUAUCUGCUGAAAAUGAGUUCACUCAAACUUACCUUCACGAGAUCGUCCCUUACUCA
This 237-nucleotide unclassified non-coding RNA is filed under the name Hevea brasiliensis (rubber tree). The record is from RNAcentral. Lineage: Eukaryota; Viridiplantae; Streptophyta; Magnoliopsida; Malpighiales; Euphorbiaceae.